ACGACCUUACUUGAACAGGAUCUGUUCUAUAGGCUCGUACUGCUGCAUCCUUUACCAAUAAGGAGGCAAACACUUGAUCCUGGAUGGGCUUCUGUCUCUACAGGGUGGCCUAGAGGUUGUCUGACAGACU
This 130-nucleotide small nucleolar RNA is filed under the name Triticum aestivum (bread wheat). RNAcentral's name for it is "Plant small nucleolar RNA U3". It matches the Rfam family "Plant small nucleolar RNA U3". Rfam says of the family: Small nucleolar RNAs (snoRNAs) are involved in the processing and modification of rRNA in the nucleolus. There are two main classes of snoRNAs: the box C/D class, and the box H/ACA class. U3 snoRNA is a member of the box C/D class. The record is from Rfam by way of RNAcentral. Lineage: Eukaryota; Viridiplantae; Streptophyta; Magnoliopsida; Poales; Poaceae.